GACUGUCCUCCUCUUAAAAACGACCACAUAGGUCGUUUGUGCAAGCAGCAUAUUACGACCUAUUAUUACGUUUUAAAAUCAAGCGCCCUCUAGCGGCCGUAUUACGACAGUCUCGUUUGUCGGGUGUGUCGUCAUCAAAUGACCUUUGACUGUCGUUACCAUCGUUACCACCCAAAAAAAGGAGGCGUGACCCAACAUCUUACCAUGCGUUGUUGUCCAGGUUUGUAAACAAUUUUAUUUUAUGGUUUAUUUUUUAAGGUACUGUUCUGAUUGUCUGCAAUUAAUGUCAAAGGAACUUGUACUCGAAGCUCAACUUGAAGAAGUUUCCAGUGAAGAUGAAGUCCUUCAAAGGUUCGACACAGCUGAAAAGGAAGACCAUGGGCCUGUCAAACCUUGUUUGUGGAGAGGGAUGAAUUUGACCAUCUUGUGUGUUUACGGAGAAGACCAAAAGCUGCUAAGGCAGAUAUUUCCAGAGGAUUUCUGACAGAUUACUGAGUCCUUCUCCAUCAGCUCUCCACAAUAGCAGCCCUUCCAAAAGCAUCCACAUCACUCUCUCUUGUGUGGCACAUCUGCUCUCAGUCGUUAGCAUGUCUACUUGUAUUAUUUCUCCUCUAGUCAACACUCCCAUCUCUACUGUGAACACUCCUGUCACUAUCACCAUCCCACCUACUGUAUUCUAUAUGCCAUAUAUAUAUAUAUAUAUAUA
Molecule: long non-coding RNA, 706 nt
Organism: Carassius gibelio (silver crucian carp)
Lineage: Eukaryota; Metazoa; Chordata; Actinopteri; Cypriniformes; Cyprinidae
Exons: 4
Source: RefSeq, a predicted model, not a curated record